UACAGAGGUCCCGAGCGUUGUUCGGAUUCACUGGGCGUAAAGGGUGCGUAGGCGGUCGGAUAAGUUUGAUGUGAAAUCUCCGGGCUUAACCCGGAAACUGCAUUGAAUACUAUUCGGCUUGAGGUCUGGAGGGGGGACUGGAAUUCUCGGUGUAGCAGUGAAAUGCGUAGAUAUCGAGAGGAACACCAGUGGCGAAGGCGAGUCCCUGGACAGGUCCUGACGCUGAGGCACGAAAGCUAGGGGAGCAAACAGG
RNAcentral lists this ribosomal RNA (253 nucleotides) under uncultured bacterium. RNAcentral describes it as "partial 16S ribosomal RNA". It matches the Rfam family "Bacterial small subunit ribosomal RNA", at positions 524 to 776 of the family's 1533-position model. The record is from RNAcentral.